Molecule: small nucleolar RNA, 71 nt
Filed under: Vicugna pacos (alpaca)
Lineage: Eukaryota; Metazoa; Chordata; Mammalia; Artiodactyla; Camelidae
Description: Small nucleolar RNA SNORD112 (ENSVPAG00000017498.1)
Source: RNAcentral
GGCACCAAUGAUGACAGUCUAUUACAACUAAAGAUUAUAUUUAAUCCAAUCCUGUGUAUGAGAGGUUCAGU